RNAcentral lists this transfer RNA (97 nucleotides) under bacterium HR27. RNAcentral's name for it is "tRNA-Ser". The record is from RNAcentral.
CGGCAGAUGCCCGAAGGGUUGUGGGAUGAAGUUCUGGAGGGACUACGGGAUAUCGAAGAACAACUCGGGCGCCGGUUCGGCGAUCCAGCUCAGCCGU